AUGACGGAGAGUUUGAUCCUGGCUCAGAACGAACGCUGGCGGCGCGUUUUAAGCAUGCAAGUCGAGCGGCAAGGGCCUUCGGGCCCCUAGAGCGGCGGACGGGUGAGUAACACGUGGACAAUCUGCCCCCCGGUCCGGGAUAGCCCAGGGAAACCUGGAUUAAUACCGGAUGAGACGGGACCCGCGAGGGCGGGAUCCGGGAAAGGCGCUACGGCGCCGCCGGGGGAUGAGUCUGCGUCCCAUUAGCUAGACGGCGGGGUAACGGCCCACCGUGGCGUCGAUGGGUAGCCGGCCUGAGAGGGUGAACGGCCACAUUGGAACUGAGACACGGUCCAGACUCCUACGGGAGGCAGCAGCUAAGAAUCUUCCGCAAUGGGCGAAAGCCUGACGGAGCGACGCCGCGUGAAACGAGAAAGGCCGUGAGGUUGUAAAGUUCUUUUUCGGGAGGGGGAACAACCGUGGCAGGGAAUGGCCGCGGGAUGACGUGAAUCCCGGAAUAAGCCCCGGCUAACUACGUGCCAGCAGCCGCGGUAACACGUAGGGGGCGAGCGUUGUUCGGAAUCAUUGGGCGUAAAGGGCGUGCAGGCGGUCCUGCAAGUCCGGCGUGAAAUACCCCGGCCCAACCGGGGGGACGCGCUGGAAACUGCAGGGCUUGAGUACAGGAGGGGAUGCCGGAAUUCCAGGUGUAGGGGUGAAAUCUGUAGAUAUCUGGAAGAACACCAAUGGCGAAGGCAGGCAUCUGGCCAUGUACUGACGCUGAGACGCGAAGGUGGCGGGGAGACAAACUAGGUUUAGACUACCCUGGUAGUCCGCACAGUAAACGAUGUGCACCAGGUGGCGGGGGGUCGACCCCCGGUACCGUAGCUAACGCAUUAAGUGCACCGCCUGGGGAGUAUGCUCGCAAGGGUGAAACUCAAAGGAAUUGACGGGGGCCCGCACAAGCGGUGGAGCAUGUGGUUUAAUUCGAUGGUACGCGAGGAACCUUACCAGGGCUUGACAUACGCUGGAAGCGCACCGAAAGGUGCGUGCCGCUUGCGGCCGGCGUACAGGUGCUGCAUGGCUGUCGUCAGCUCGUGCUGUGAAGUGUUGGGUUAAGUCCCGCAACGAGCGCAACCCCUGCUGUCUGUUGCCACCACGUGAAGGUGGGGACUCAGGCGGAACUGCCGGUGACAAACCGGAGGAAGGUGGGGACGACGUCAAGUCAUCAUGGCCCUUAUGUCCUGGGCUACACACGUGCUACAAUGGCCGGUACAGAGCGCAGCGAGGCCGCGAGGCGGAGCGAAUCGCUUAAAGCCGGUCCCAGUACGGAUUGGAGUCUGCAACCCGACUCCAUGAAGUUGGAAUCGCUAGUAAUCGCGCAUCAGCAUGGCGCGGUGAAUACGUUCCCGGGCCUUGUACACACCGCCCGUCACACCAUCCGAGUCGGGGGUACCCGAAGUCGCCAGCCCAACCCGCAAGGGGGGGCGGUUCCGAAGGUACGUCCGGUGAGGGGGGUGAAGUCGUAACAAGGUAGCCGUACCGGAAGGUGCGGCUGGAUCACCUCCUUU
Molecule: ribosomal RNA, 1547 nt
Organism: Sphaerochaeta globosa str. Buddy
Lineage: Bacteria; Pseudomonadati; Spirochaetota; Spirochaetia; Spirochaetales; Sphaerochaetaceae
Rfam family: Bacterial small subunit ribosomal RNA
Source: Rfam